GAUGAACGCUAGCGGCAGGCUUAACACAUGCAAGUCGAGGGGUAGAAGGAGCUUGCUCCUUUGAGACCGGCGCACGGGUGCGUAACGCGUAUGCAAUCUACCUUUUGCAGAGGGAUAGCCCAGAGAAAUUUGGAUUAAUACCUCAUAGUAUGUGAGGAUGGCAUCAUUUUCACAUUAAAGUCACAACGGCAAAGAUGAGCAUGCGUCCUAUUAGCUAGUUGGUAAGGUACGGACGUACCUAACGGACGUACG
RNAcentral lists this ribosomal RNA (252 nucleotides) under uncultured bacterium. Its description in RNAcentral is "partial 16S ribosomal RNA". It matches the Rfam family "Bacterial small subunit ribosomal RNA", at positions 28 to 282 of the family's 1533-position model. The record is from RNAcentral.